ACAAAUCAACCUACAAAUGGCAAAAUCAUCAAUUAGGCUUGAUUUGUUUUUGUUAGAAAAAAUGAAGAGAUAGGCUAGCUGAAUAUAAUAAUUUGUUGAAAUAUGAGAGGAAAAAAUAAGAGAGGGUAACUGAGAAACUCAAGCUUUGAUUUGUGGUUGAUGCUAAAAACUUUCAAGUACUGUAACGACCCCAAAAAUUUAAAAGGAAAUGCAUAUAAUAAUUUAAGUUCGGAAGCGAAAUAAAGGUUAAAGUUAACAUCCCUUACACGAUAACUCAAAAGUACUAACAAACAUCAUGGAACAAAUUCUCUGAAAGAAAUACGAAAAAUAGAAAAAAAUAAAGGAAACUAUAAAGUAUCUAGCAUCUACUCGUAGCCUUCUUGCGGAUCGGGCUCAGAAACUGGGUCCUCCUGAUCUGAAAUGGUUAAAUAAGGGGUGAGCUACACUAGCCAAGUAAGGACAUCACAAUAUAUCGCCGUCAUAGAAACAAAGGUUGAUAGAAAACCAAAAACAACCAAUGGAGCACAAAUUUUAAACCAAUACAUUCAUUAAAAUUAAAACCAUUUUUCUUUUUUCUUACCCUUGGAGAACCUGCGAAAAUAACCUAUAAAGACAAUAACAUCAUACAGAUCAUAACUUCAUGCACAAUCAGUAACAUAGAACAUAUCAUAAAUUCAUAUUCAUUAACAAUAACUAAUCAUCACCGUUUCUCAUUUCACCAGCCUACUAGUAUCCAUGGGGAUCCAUAUGGGUUCCCACGCUAUACGUGAACCCUUUCCAUAACAACCUUAAUUCCAGGGUCGUCCCCAUAUCCCGUCCGGUAUGAGUGCUAAGACAUUAAACCUCAAUACCCCAUCCGGUAUGAGGGUCAAGCGGGCCGUCCCCAUACCUCGUCCGAUAUGAGCGCCAAAUAAUCAAGUCUCCAUACCCCGUCCAGUAUGAGACAACGUUCACGGUAGGGUUCCCUAUGAACCCGGUCCGUACACAUCUAUGAUAGGAAAUAGGGUGAGGGGUCCUUACUUGAUUCGACGCCGAAAACUAGAUAGUUACUACACCUACGGGCGGUCCUUGGGUUCCCUGAAUUUUUCUUCGAGAACUAAAACGCGCUUACAGUACCUACAAGUGUCCCAAAUAAACCCAAAAAUCAGACCU
This 1152-nucleotide long non-coding RNA is filed under the name Carica papaya (papaya). Its description in RNAcentral is "long non-coding RNA (CPAP_LNC011964)". Lineage: Eukaryota; Viridiplantae; Streptophyta; Magnoliopsida; Brassicales; Caricaceae. The record is from RNAcentral.